RNAcentral lists this ribosomal RNA (524 nucleotides) under Dicyphus hesperus. RNAcentral describes it as "partial 16S ribosomal RNA". The stretch from base 388 to 524 matches the Rfam family "Archaeal large subunit ribosomal RNA", at positions 2542 to 2679 of the family's 2987-position model. The record is from RNAcentral. Lineage: Eukaryota; Metazoa; Arthropoda; Insecta; Hemiptera; Miridae.
AAAACAUGUCCUUUUGUUUAUAUAUAAGGUCUAAUCUGCUCAAUGAUAUUUAAAUAGCUGCAGUAUUUUGACUGUACAAAGGUAGCAUAAUCAUUUGGUCUUUAAUUGGGAUCUGGCAUGAAAGAUUGGACGAAAAAUAUACUUUCUUUAUAUUAUGACAAAAACUUAAUCUUUAAGUCAAAAAUCUUAAAUUUAUUUAUAGGACGAGAAGACCCUAUAGAACUUUAUAUAUAUAUAUUAUAUUUUCUUUUAGUUUAUUUUUAUAAAUAUCUUUUAUAUAUAUUUUGUUGGGGUGACAUAAAAAAUACAAUAACUUUUUAUUUAUAUUUCGUUAUUAUACGAUUAUAAUGAUCCUUUUUUAUGGAUUACAAGAUCAGUUACCUUAGGGAUAACAGCGUUAUUACUCUGGAGAGUUCAUAUUGAUAGAGUAGUUUGCGACCUCGAUGUUGGAUUAAAAUAAGUUUUAGGUGUAGAAUUUUAAUAACUAGGUCUGUUCGACCUUUAAUUUUUUACAUGAUCUGAGU